AACUUUUGGCAAUGGAUCAAUUGGUUCUCGCAUCGAAGAAGAACGCAGCGAAAUGCGAUAAGUAAUGGGAAUUGCAGAAUUCAGUGAAUCAUCGAAUCUUUGAACGAACAUUGCGCCCCUUGGUAUUCCGAGGGGCAUGCCUGUUCGAGCGUCAUUACACCACUCAAGCACUGCUUGGUAUUGGGCAUCGUCCGUCGAAAGGCGGGCGUGCCUCAAAGACCUCGGCGGGGUUUCUCCAACUUCGGGCGUAGUAGAGUUAAAUCAAAACGUCUUAUAAGCUUGGUGAGAUCUCAUUGCCGUUAAACCUUUUAUUUUUCAGGUUGACCUCGGAUCAGGUAGGGAUACCCGCUGAACUUAAGCAUAUCAAUAAGCGGAGGC
RNAcentral lists this unclassified non-coding RNA (378 nucleotides) under uncultured Coniozyma. Its description in RNAcentral is "sequence contains ITS2". The stretch from base 1 to 154 matches the Rfam family "5.8S ribosomal RNA". The record is from RNAcentral. Lineage: Eukaryota; Fungi; Ascomycota; Dothideomycetes; Dothideales; Dothideaceae.